This is a long non-coding RNA of Ictalurus punctatus (channel catfish), 830 nucleotides long. The record is from Ensembl. Lineage: Eukaryota; Metazoa; Chordata; Actinopteri; Siluriformes; Ictaluridae.
GGCGCCUCGGCAAACGGGGAGAAAUAGUCCUAUUUAUAUUGUUUAAAAAGAAAAAGAAAAAAAAGAAAGAAAGAAAGAAACGGCACAUGGUAGGAUUCUUGUUAAUAGCAUGUCACCAACUCUGGGGAGAAGCAGGACAGUGGGGCGCCAACUACGAAUCACUAGGCGGAUUAACGCGAGCAUUUAUGCUUGAGGGAAAAAGUGGGAGAAUAUGGAAGAAUUGGAUCAACUAGGAAGGUAGAAACAUCUGGACUUCUUCAUCAAUACACUUCACUCAGCACAGAUGAAAAUCGGAAUACCUCAAAACAUUCCAAAGACUCACCAUUGACAUGCAGAUUGAAGCAGAAAUAAAUGCAGAAAUGAGAUGUGGAAACUCUAGAGAGUGCCUGAGGUUCUCCUAUAGAGGAUGUGUUUUCGUGGAAUUCACACUGUACACUAACUGCAGCGAGUUCCGGCUACCAUGACAUAUAGAGGUGCAUCCCCUCUAUAGGAUGCGCUGCCAGAAUGGACGUCCAUAUAGUUUUCUCUCACAACAAAAAGUGUACCGCUGUUCUUCCUUUGUCUAGUUUCUCAUUAAAAGUGGAAUAUUGCUUUAUUCAUGUUUUAUUUACAUGUACUCUUUCAGUUCUUGGUACACUUUCCAUUCAACCACCCCUCCCCCUUUAAAAAACCCUAAAAGCAUAUGGAAAUAAAAUACCAAAUCCUUGGCUAAGGUUAAAUGCCUAUGCCUAUAAUUUAAUUGGAGGGUUUAGUCAGUAAAAGUGAAAGUCAUUCUCCAAAUCUCAGUUCAAGCAAAAUGAUGAAAGCAUCCCAUCUUAAAUCAAUUUCAU